GAUGAACGCUGGCGGCGUGCCUAACACAUGCAAGUCGAACGGGGUUAUUUAGGAAGCAUUGAGUAGUUUACUAUGAGGUGUGGAAUAGAUAACUUAGUGGCGGACGGGUGAGUAACGCGUGAGGACCUGUCCAUUGCAGGGGGACAACAGCUGGAAACGGCUGCUAAUACCGCAUACGCGUGGAGCGAUCUGCGUGAAAGGAAUUUAAUCCGGCAAUGGAGGGACUCGCGUCCUAUCAGCUAGUAGGUGAGGUAAGAGCUCACCUAGGCGAAGACGGGUAGCCGGCCUGAGAGGGCGCACGGCCACACUGGGACUGAGAUACGGCCCAGACUCCUACGGGAGGCAGCAGUGGGGAAUAUUGGGCAAUGGGGGGAACCCUGACCCAGCGACGCCGCGUGGGUGAAGAAGUCUUUCGGGACGUAAAGCCCUUUUGUGCGGGAAGAAGGAAGUGACGGUACCGCACGAAUAAGCCCCGGCAAACUACGUGCCAGCAGCCGCAGUAACAC
This 506-nucleotide ribosomal RNA is filed under the name uncultured bacterium. RNAcentral's name for it is "bacterial SSU rRNA". It matches the Rfam family "Bacterial small subunit ribosomal RNA", at positions 28 to 526 of the family's 1533-position model. The record is from RNAcentral.